Molecule: ribosomal RNA, 303 nt
Filed under: uncultured bacterium
Lineage: Bacteria
Description: partial 16S ribosomal RNA
Rfam family: Bacterial small subunit ribosomal RNA
Source: RNAcentral
AGCAGUAGCCGCGGUAAUACAGAGGGUGCAAGCGUUAAUCGGAAUUACUGGGCGUAAAGCGCACGCAGGCGGUUUGUUAAGUCAGAUGUGAAAUCCCCGAGCUUAACUUGGGAACUGCAUUUGAAACUGGCAAGCUAGAGUCUUGUAGAGGGGGGUAGAAUUCCAGGUGUAGCGGUGAAAUGCGUAGAGAUCUGGAGGAAUACCGGUGGCGAAGGCGGCCCCCUGGUCGAAGACUGACGCUCAGGUGCGAAAGCGUGGGGAUCAAACAGGAUUAGAGACCCGCGUAGUCCCUGUCUCUUAUAC